RNAcentral lists this transfer RNA (84 nucleotides) under Acholeplasma hippikon. RNAcentral's name for it is "tRNA-Tyr(gta)". It matches the Rfam family "tRNA". From Rfam's summary of the family: Transfer RNA (tRNA) molecules are approximately 80 nucleotides in length. Their secondary structure includes four short double-helical elements and three loops (D, anti-codon, and T loops). Further hydrogen bonds mediate the characteristic L-shaped molecular structure. tRNAs have two regions of fundamental functional importance: the anti-codon, which is responsible for specific mRNA codon recognition, and the 3' end, to which the tRNAs corresponding amino acid is attached (by aminoacyl-tRNA synthetases). tRNAs cope with the degeneracy of the genetic code in two manners: having more than one tRNA (with a specific anti-codon) for a particular amino acid; and 'wobble' base-pairing, i.e. permitting non-standard base-pairing at the 3rd anti-codon position. Lineage: Bacteria; Bacillati; Mycoplasmatota; Mollicutes; Acholeplasmatales; Acholeplasmataceae. The record is from RNAcentral.
GGAGGGGUAGCGAAGAGGCUAAACGCGGCAGACUGUAAAUCUGUUCCUUACGGUUCGGCAGUUCGAAUCUGUCCCCCUCCACCA